AUCGAAGAACAUGACUACCAAACGAAAUUUCGUAAUGUGGUCAAAUUUCUUAAAGACGGCGAUAAGGUAAAAUGUUCUGUCCGCUUCCGCGGUCGUGAAAUUACCCAUGCCGAUAUCGGUAAAAAAAUCCUGGACCGCGUCAAAGACGAGGUUGCAGAUAUUUCAACCGUAGAGCGUAUUCCUAAAUUGGAAGGACGCAGCAUGAUUAUGAUUUUGGCACCUAAAAACUAAUCACAGCUUAUACAAAUUUUGAGGGGGAAGUACCAUGCCUAAAAUGAAAACCCAUAGCAGUCUGAAAGACCGCUUCAAAAUUACCGGAUCUGGUAAA
RNAcentral lists this unclassified non-coding RNA (328 nucleotides) under Fontibacillus panacisegetis. Its description in RNAcentral is "Long range pseudoknot". The record is from RNAcentral. Lineage: Bacteria; Bacillati; Bacillota; Bacilli; Caryophanales; Paenibacillaceae.